AAUGAGAGUUUGAUCCUGGCUCAGGACGAACGCUGGCGGCGUGCCUAAUACAUGCAAGUAGAACGCUGAAGACUUUAGCUUGCUAAAGUUGGAAGAGUUGCGAACGGGUGAGUAACGCGUAGGUAACCUGCCUACUAGCGGGGGAUAACUAUUGGAAACGAUAGCUAAUACCGCAUAACAGCAUUUAACCCAUGUUAGAUGCUUGAAAGGAGCAAUUGCUUCACUAGUAGAUGGACCUGCGUUGUAUUAGCUAGUUGGUGAGGUAACGGCUCACCAAGGCGACGAUACAUAGCCGACCUGAGAGGGUGAUCGGCCACACUGGGACUGAGACACGGCCCAGACUCCUACGGGAGGCAGCAGUAGGGAAUCUUCGGCAAUGGGGGCAACCCUGACCGAGCAACGCCGCGUGAGUGAAGAAGGUUUUCGGAUCGUAAAGCUCUGUUGUAAGAGAAGAACGUGUGUGAGAGUGGAAAGUUCACACAGUGACGGUAACUUACCAGAAAGGGACGGCUAACUACGUGCCAGCAGCCGCGGUAAUACGUAGGUCCCGAGCGUUGUCCGGAUUUAUUGGGCGUAAAGCGAGCGCAGGCGGUUUAAUAAGUCUGAAGUUAAAGGCAGUGGCUUAACCAUUGUUCGCUUUGGAAACUGUUAGACUUGAGUGCAGAAGGGGAGAGUGGAAUUCCAUGUGUAGCGGUGAAAUGCGUAGAUAUAUGGAGGAACACCGGUGGCGAA
This 732-nucleotide ribosomal RNA is filed under the name Salmonella enterica subsp. enterica serovar Typhimurium. Its description in RNAcentral is "bacterial SSU rRNA". It matches the Rfam family "Bacterial small subunit ribosomal RNA", at positions 1 to 719 of the family's 1533-position model. The record is from RNAcentral. Lineage: Bacteria; Pseudomonadati; Pseudomonadota; Gammaproteobacteria; Enterobacterales; Enterobacteriaceae.